AGCCGUGCUUUUUGAACACGCCAUGACUGAAUACUGGAACUUCUCCGACUAAGCCAGCGAUGUUAUAAUGCCCCAAAUUUGUUUCGCCAAGAUUGGUCUCCAUAAGAUAAAGGAUCUAAUAAAGCAUGUAAAACUGUUCAGAAGCUCACUGACUGACCACAAACUCCAGCCAAGCCUUAAAGAUUUGCUACAGAAUAAAGUAUAUUUAGCAGCCUUCCACUCCUAUCUGCAAUCUGAGUUUAGUGAUGAAAACAUUCAGUUCUGGCUGUGAGAACUUCAGGGCAACUGCCUCAAAAGAUAACCUCCAGUCGAAAGCAGGGAGGAUCUACAAGGAAUUAAUCCAGCCUUCAGCCUGUAAAGAGAUCAAUGUAGACCACUACAUUAAACAGAAAAUAAAGAAAUCCUUGGAGAAACCGGGUCUAACAUGCUUCGACGAGGCCCAGAAACAUGUUUACCUGCUAAUGGAAAGAGACUCUUGUCCAAGAUUCCUACAGUCUGAUGCUUACCUGAGACUGAAGCAGAAAUCCAGGACUGUAUGGUACAUUUAAACACUGACAAAGAAAAGAAAAGUUGAGAUUUGGUUGAAUUGUUUUGAAAGCUGUUAAACAAUUCAUUCAUUCAUUCAUUAGUUGGCUGUCUCAGGUUUGUUCAAAAACCCAUUCUAUGUGUUAAAGGAUGUGCAAUGUCAUAUCAUGUUUGGAGAAAUUAUCUGUGGAACACAUAAUGGUCCCGGCACGGUCGACGACUGGUUAGCACAUCUGCCUCACAGUUCUGGGGACCGUGGUUCAAAUCCCGGCCCCGCCUGUGGGGAGUUUGCAUGUUCUGCCCGUGCCUGGGUGGGUUUUCUCCGGGUACUGCCUUUUCCUCCCACAUCCCCAAAACAUGCAUGCUAGGUUCAUUGAAGACUCUAAAUUGCCCGUAGGUGUGAAUGUGAGUGUGAAUGGCUGUUUGUUUCUAUGUGUCCUGCGAUUGGCUGGCGAGCAGCUCAGGGUGUACCCCGCCUCCCGCCCGAAGAUAGCUGGGAUAGGCUCCAGCACCCCGCGACCCUAGUGAGGAUAAGCGGUAAAGAAAAUGGUUGGAUGGAUAAAUAAUGGAGCUAAACCCCAUAUGGGAGCAAAAAAGGAAGGGAACCUGGCAAGUGAAUAAAUAUGUACUGUAUGUGAAUGAAAUAUCUUUUGGAUGUGACACUGUAUUAAAACUGUGGCUAUGCAGUGCAUUGAAUACUCUAGACUUUGAAUGUGUUUAAUGGUUGUACAGUGGAUAGAAACAGUCUA
Long non-coding RNA from Phyllopteryx taeniolatus (common seadragon), 1274 nucleotides. RefSeq lists it as uncharacterized. The transcript is spliced from 4 exons. The record is from RefSeq and is a predicted model, not a curated record. NCBI's taxonomy places the organism in Eukaryota, Metazoa, Chordata, Actinopteri, Syngnathiformes, Syngnathidae.